Molecule: unclassified non-coding RNA, 352 nt
Filed under: soil metagenome
Description: partial contains 5.8S ribosomal RNA, internal transcribed spacer 2, and large subunit ribosomal RNA
Rfam family: 5.8S ribosomal RNA (bases 1-120)
Source: RNAcentral
GAUGAAGAACGCAGCGAAAUGCGAUAAGUAAUGUGAAUUGCAGAAUUCCGUGAAUCAUCGAAUCUUUGAACGCACAUUGCGCCCUCUGGUAUUCCGGGGGGCAUGCCUGUCCGAGCGUCAUUGCAACCCUCAAGCGCGGCUUGUGUGUUGGGCCUUCGUCCCCCGUGGACGUGCCCGAAAUGCAGUGGCGGCGUCGUGUUCCGGUGCCCGAGCGUAUGGGGCUUUGUCACCCGCUCAUGGAGGCCCGGCCGGCCCCGGCCAACCCCCAAUCGAGGACUCGUUCCUCUACUAAGGUUGACCUCGGAUCAGGUAGGGAUACCCGCUGAACUUAAGCAUAUCAAUAAGCGGAGGA